RNAcentral lists this long non-coding RNA (268 nucleotides) under Elaeis guineensis (African oil palm). RNAcentral's name for it is "long non-coding RNA (EGUI_LNC081691)". The record is from RNAcentral. Lineage: Eukaryota; Viridiplantae; Streptophyta; Magnoliopsida; Arecales; Arecaceae.
GCUUGGAAGCAACCAUGGAUCUGUGUUGGUAUGGGACAGCACAGAGUUAUGGAUGCAACUUGUGAGUACUUGGCAUCAGUGCAGUGUGGUAGGGUCCGAAGUCUUGGUGUUGAAUGGAAAAGGUCGGAAUUACCACAAGACUGCAAGGUGGGUAUGUUGCAAGACCAGGCGUUUGGAGGUGAGUUGCCAGAGGGGACUCAUGUGAUGGGCCGCUUCAAGACUGGUGGAUAGGAGUUAAGCCUUGGAAGAGUCUGAGGAAUGCCAUGUA